CUCAAAAGUUCUCUGGUGCUGAGGACACAUUUUAUUUUCUCAAAGGAACAAUAGUAUAAAUUGAGUUUUCUACACAAGUCUACAAAAAUACCAUUUUGUGCCUCAUGCAUACCCAGCUUGAGGUAAGCACUAUUCAUUGCUGCCCAAUGGCUGGUACAUCACCCCGCCCCUACUUACCUGGAUUUCAGGAAACAUAUACUCUGGUGACUGCUUUAUUGGCUGAAGGGUGAUUGGCCUAUAUGAGUCCUGGUAAUCUUGUCCACCUUCCCCAAACACUGGGCUAGGGAUACACAUGUGAUCCACUUCUGGUCAGUGAGAUAUGAGGGGGCUUCCCAUGUGAAUGAAACACAAAGCCACUAGAAAAGAAAGCCUUUGUCCCCACUCUGAUUCCUUCUUUGAGACAACGUGGUGCCUGACAUGGUGGCAGCCAUCUACUGCUGAUGAGGUGACAAGCAUGAGGAAAGACCAGAAUGCUGGGGACAGUGGAGAGGAAGGAUGGACAUGGCUGAAUUGCUGAAUCAACUACCUACCUCCAGACUCCUUGUUAAAUUAGUUAUGGAUUAUUUGCUUAGACAUUUCUUGGAGUAGUUGCGACAGGACUUCAGAGUAACUCACCGGAGACCACCUGGAAUCUACACUGAACUGGCACUUGAUACCACAGGGGCCCAUUGCACCCCCCAGAUCACUGCAUUCUUCAGGUGACCUUGGCUCAAGAAAUCGCCAUGGAAGAAGAGAAGCAGAUAUGGCAGUCAAAAGGGGGAAUUUUUGACAUCCCCUCACAGAUGUGGUUCAGGUCCAAUAAGAAACCCACAGUACCUAUUGGAGCGCAAUUACCACUGCUCCAGCAUAUACACCAAUUAACCCACUGGGCACGUGAAAAGAUGAUCUUAUGGGGAAAAGAGUACUUUUGGAAACUUUCCACCACAGUGGCCCAUAAAGCCUAUACUCAUUGUUUUAUGCCCAAAGUAUAAUCCAGGGAAACCACUUCAUGGAUCACAAGGCCACUUUCCCCUUCCUAAGGGAUCCUUUGGACUUCGUCCAAAUGCCACCAUCUCAAGGAUAUAAAUACGUCUUGGUAAUGAUCUGUGUGUUCUCAUAUUGGAUUGAGGCCUUUCCUUGCGGAAGAGCAACAGCUUUAGCUGUAGUGAGCUCCCGGGACACGAAGACCUUAAGGAUCGUGGAUUACAGCCUGGAG
RNAcentral lists this long non-coding RNA (1195 nucleotides) under Equus asinus (donkey). Its description in RNAcentral is "lncRNA (ENSEASG00005032043.1)". Lineage: Eukaryota; Metazoa; Chordata; Mammalia; Perissodactyla; Equidae. The record is from RNAcentral.